CCUACGGGAGGCUGCAGUGAGGAAUAUUGGUCAAUGGGCGCGAGCCUGAACCAGCCAAGUCGCGUGAGGGAGGAAGGCCCUACGGGUUGUAAACCUCUUUUGCCGGGGAGCAACGGGCGUCACGUGUGGCGCCACUGAGAGUACCCGGAGAAAAAGCAUCCGCAAACUUCGUGCCAGCAGCCGCGGUAAUACGGGGGAUGCGAGCGGUAUCCGGAUUUAUUGGGGUUAAAGGGUGCGUAGGCGGAUCGUUAAGUCAGCGGUCAAAUUGAGGGGCUCAACCCCUUCCCGCCAUUGAAACUGGCGCUCUUGAGUGGAAGAGAAGUAUGCGGAAUGCGUGGUGUAGCGGUGAAAUGCAUAGAUAUCACGCAGAACUCCGAUUGCGAAGGCAGCAUACCGGCGCGCAACUGACGCUCAUGCACGAAAGCGUGGGUAUCGAACAGGAUUAGAUACCCGUGUAGUC
This 460-nucleotide ribosomal RNA is filed under the name uncultured bacterium. RNAcentral's name for it is "partial 16S ribosomal RNA". It matches the Rfam family "Bacterial small subunit ribosomal RNA", at positions 338 to 795 of the family's 1533-position model. The record is from RNAcentral.